Molecule: ribosomal RNA, 1314 nt
Filed under: uncultured Alphaproteobacteria bacterium
Lineage: Bacteria; Pseudomonadati; Pseudomonadota; Alphaproteobacteria
Description: uncultured alpha proteobacterium 16S ribosomal RNA
Rfam family: Bacterial small subunit ribosomal RNA
Source: RNAcentral
ACGCUGGCGGCACGCCUAACACAUGCAAGUCGAACGAAGUAGCAAUACUUAGUGGCAGACGGGUGAGUAACAUGUAGGUAUCUGCCCUUUGGCCUGGAAUAACACGAGGAAACUUGUGCUAAUACCGGAUAAGUCUUUACAGAGAAAGCUUUAUGCACCAUUGGAUGAGCCUGCACUUGAUUAGUUUGUUGGUGGGGUAAUGGCCUACCAAGACUGUGAUCAAUAGCUGAUUUGAGAGGAUGAUCAGCCACAUUGGGACUGAGACACGGCCCAAACUCCUACGGGAGGCAGCAGUGGGGAAUCUUGCACAAUGGAGGAAACUCUGAUGCAGCGAUGCCGCGUGAGUGAAGAAGGCCUUUGGGUUGUAAAGCUCUUUCGUCGGGGAAGAAAAUGACUGUACCCGAAUAAGAAGGUCCGGCUAACUUCGUGCCAGCAGCCGCGGUAAUACGAAGGGACCUAGCGUAGUUCGGAAUUACUGGGCUUAAAGAGUUCGUAGGUGGUUGAAAAAGUUAGUGGUGAAAUCCCAGAGCUUAACUCUGGAACUGCCAUUAAAACUUUUCAGCUAGAGUAUGAUAGAGGAAAGCAGAAUUUCUAGUGUAGAGGUGAAAUUCGUAGAUAUUAGAAAGAAUACCAAUUGCGAAGGCAGCUUUCUGGAUCAUUACUGACACUGAGGAACGAAAGCAUGGGUAGCGAAGAGGAUUAGAUACCCUCGUAGUCCAUGCCGUAAACGAUGUGUGUUAGACGUUGGAAAUUUAUUUUCAGUGUCGCAGCGAAAGCGAUAAACACACCGCCUGGGGAGUACGACCGCAAGGUUAAAACUCAAAUGAAUUGACGGGGACCCGCACAAGUAGUGGAGCAUGUGGUUUAAUUCGAAGAUACGCGCAGAACCUUACCAACACUUGACAUGUUCGUCGCGACUCUAAGAGAUUAGAGUUUUCGGUUCGGCCGGACGAAACACAGGUGCUGCAUGGCUGUCGUCAGCUCGUGUCGUGAGAUGUUGGGUUAAGUCCCGCAACGAGCGCAACCCUCACUUUUAGUUGCCAUCAUUAAGUUGGGCACUCUGAAAGAACUGCCAGUGAUAAGCUGGAGGAAGGUGGGGAUGACGUCAAGUCCUCAUGGCCCUUACGUGUUGGGCUACACACGUGCUACAAUGGUAUCUACAACAGGAAGCAAGACUGCGAAGUUAAGCAAAUCCCUAAAAGAUACCUCAGUUCGGAUUGCACUCUGCAACUCGAGUGCAUGAAGCUGGAAUUACUAGUAAUCGUGGAUCAGCGUGCCACGGUGAAUGCGUUCCCGGGUCUUGUACACACCGCC